UACGUAGGGGGCAAGCGUUGUCCGGAUUUAUUGGGCGUAAAGCGCGUGUAGGCGGCCAGAAAAGUCCGCUGUGAAAACUCGAGGCUCAACUUCGAGCUGUCGGUGGAAACUUUCUGGCUAGAGUCCGGAAGAGGAGAAUGGAAUUCCUGGUGUAGCGGUGAAAUGCGCAGAUAUCAGGAAGAACACCCGUGGCGAAAGCGGCGCGCUGGACCACUACUGACGCUGAGGAACGAAAGCUAGGGGAGCAAACAGG
This 253-nucleotide ribosomal RNA is filed under the name uncultured bacterium. RNAcentral's name for it is "partial 16S ribosomal RNA". It matches the Rfam family "Bacterial small subunit ribosomal RNA", at positions 524 to 776 of the family's 1533-position model. The record is from RNAcentral.